AGCCCCCUCUGGAUUGAUCUAGGUGUCAGUAACGCACAGGUUUUCCAGCUCUAAGCAGAGAGGAGAGUACACAGAAGAAGGACAGAGUGACUGUGUGACUGGGUGUGUGUGUGUGAGUGAGAGAGUGUGUGGGAGGUCGUGCAGCAUGCAGCAGUAGAGAGGAUACACACACUCGCCAUGGCGUGUCCCCCGCCCCCUCCCCCUGUUUAAGAAGAGCUACGUCCUCCCUCUAACUCACCACUGGGGGCUUCAGAGUGGAGCCCCACACACCACAUCACACCACACCACACACACCGGCCCACUACAAUCCCAGGUGUGUGUGUGCGAGUUGGGUUCUCGCCCCCUUCCUGAGGGAAGAUGUCUGUGGUGAUGCCCCUGGAUGGGGUGAGGGAGGGGGAGAGUGUGCUGGUUACUGAGACCCCAGCCGGCACGCGCUGCAAAGGAAACACCAAUUUACCUGGCAAAGACAACUGCACUGACAACAACAACACAGAGCCUGACGACAACCUCUCACAAGACACACAGAAACGCUGUCAGAACCAUGGCCAUACCAGGAAAAGAGCCAAGUCCAAUGCCAAGCUGAAGCUGGUGCGGAGUCUAGCAGUAUGUGAAGAGUCAUCGGGUCCAUUCUCAACUGAUGGACCUCCAGAGACGCAGGACAUCAUUCAGCUACACAUCAGCUGUCCUUCAGACAAAGAAGAGGAGAAAUCCUCGAAAGAUGAGUACGAGAGUGAGGAGAGGGAGAAGAAGGACAAGACUCCUCGCAAGAUGCUCUCGCGGGACUCCAGUCAGGAGUACACAGACUCCACGGGCAUCGAUGUGCACGAGUUCUUGGUGAACACACUGAAAAACAACCCCAGGGACAGAAUGAUGCUACUGAAGCUGGAACAAGAUAUACUGGAGUUCAUCAAUGAUGACAAUAAUCAGUAUAAGAAGUUCCCUCAGAUGACCUCUUACCAUCGCAUGCUACUGCAUCGGGUGGCAGCAUAUUUUGGAAUGGACCACAACGUGGACCAAACUGGCAAAGCAGUCAUCAUCAACAAAACGAGCAACACGCGCAUCCCUGAACAGAGGUUUUCUGAGCACAUUAAGGACGAAAGGAACAUGGAUUUCCAAAAGAAAUUCAUUCUCAAGAGGGAUGAUGCAAGCAUGGACAAAGACGAUAACCAGAUCCGGGUUCCACUCCAGGAUGGUCGACGCAGUAAGUCCAUUGAGGAGAGGGAGGAGGAGUAUCAGCGUGUUCGAGAUAGAAUCUUUGCUCGGGAAUCCUCUCAAAACGGAUACAUCAAUGACAACAGGGGUAAUAAGGAGAGUUCGAGCAGAGCGUCCAGCAGCCGGCAGAGCAGCACAGACAGCGAUAUGAAGAGUCUGGAGCCACGGCCGUGGAGCAGCACAGACUCGGACAGUUCCAACCGCACACUGCGGCCACCCGUCACCAAGGCCAGCAGCUUCAGUGGCAUCUCUAUCCUCACACGCGGCGACAGCCUGGGCAGCAAGGGCUCGCAGGGUAGCGCCAGGGGGUCACGCACAGGUACAGACAUCACUUUUCCUUCUAUCAUCAGUCUCUUUCUCUGUGUGUGUAAUUUAAACACCUUUCAAAGACAGACACUAAUGCUCCAGUGUCUGUUCCAGGGAGAUGAGUUGACCCCAGGCUUCGGGCAGAUGUCUCUGAGCCGCCAGGGCUCCAGCGAGGCUCCAGAGCCACCCACCCUCUACCAGCCUCCUCCUGCCGUCCUGUCCCAGCACCCCCCACCACAGCCAAGUUACAUCAUGCCCCCACCGCCCUCUGGGUACCAACCGCCCACACCUCACCCACACCCUCCUCCACCCCCUCCGCCUCCUACCCAGCCUGUACUGCAGACAGCACCGCCUGCUCAGGGCUACAUGCAGCCCCCGCCACCACCUCAGCAGAUCCAGGUGCAGUAUUACUCAGCUGGUGGGCAGUAUCCGAGUUCAGGACAGCAGUACAGGUCCAUAUCCCACCAAGUGUCAUACCCUGCUCAACGCUCUCAGACCCUCCCCCCACCAACGCAGCCCUCCGCUCCUCUCCAGCCUAUGAUGGCGAGUCAGCAGCCAACGUAUCAGAGCAUGAUGGGAGUUCAGCAGCCGCAGAGUGCCAGUAUAAUGAGCUCACAGCGCACAGGCAUGAGCGGACAGAUGCAAGGCAUGAUGGUCCAGUACACACCCAUGCCCUCCUAUCAGGUGGCCGUAGCUAAUGAAACCCAGCCUGUGGUGCAGCAGCAGUACCAGCAGCCUGUCAUGGUGCCUGUUAGCCAGUCUGUCCAGGGUGCCAUGCCAACCCCUGCACCCAUGCCAGUCUACUACAGUGUCUUGACCCCCACACAACAGAACAGCACAAGUCCAUCUGUGGGCUACCUGCAGCCUCCCAGUUCAGAUCAGUACCAGAUGACCCAGUCUCCGUCCCCCUGCAGCCCUCAGCAGAUACAGCAGCAGUAUUCAGGAGUGCCGCCCCCUGGUCCAGGUGUCAUGGUGAUGCAGCUGAGUGUUCCAAAUGGGCCACAGUCUACUCAGAAUCCUCCUAUGGUGCAGUGGAAUCCCUGCAAGUAUUAUAGCGUGGAGCAGAGACCCAGCAAGCCUGAGCCACAGGCUCAAUCAGCUAGCGGUUCUAGUCCUUUGGCAUCUCCUACUCAGUCUCCCACUCCGUCUCCAUCCAGCAGCGGGAACAGUGUGUGCCCUGGACUCGGCCCACUUCCACUCAUUUCUCAGUUUCCUCGGCCUGGAGGACCCGCACAAGGUGACUGCACUGGGGUGGUGAGCCGUGUGUUGGAGGUGACGGAUCUACCCGAGGGCAUCUCUCGUCUAGAUGCCGAGAAGCUCUUCAACCAGCUCUCACUCUGCGGUGCCAAAAUCCAGUGGCUGAAGGACCCCCAGGUGCCCCGGGGGCCCACAACGGCCCCGGGACCCGGGGGAGGAUGCGGAAUGGGCAAAAACGAUGCACAUGACCCAGCCCACCUCUACACAGUGGUGGCCGUGUUCCCAAACACCAUGGCUGCCCAGAGCGCGUCCUUCAAGCUGAACAACAGUGGAGGAAGCCUGUUCAAACUGCGCGCCGCCAAAAAGAACUAUGACCUGCGCGUGCUGGAGCGAGCCAGCUCCCAGUGA
This 3123-nucleotide long non-coding RNA is filed under the name Astyanax mexicanus (Mexican tetra). RNAcentral's name for it is "lncRNA (ENSAMXG00005019054.1)". The record is from RNAcentral. Lineage: Eukaryota; Metazoa; Chordata; Actinopteri; Characiformes; Acestrorhamphidae.